GCCCGGUUAGCUCAAUCGGUAGAGCGUGAGACUCUUAAUCUCAAGGUUGCGGGUAAGUUCGCACUAUGCU
Hypoxylon crocopeplum is the source of this 70-nucleotide non-coding RNA. NCBI's taxonomy places the organism in Eukaryota, Fungi, Ascomycota, Sordariomycetes, Xylariales, Hypoxylaceae. The record is from the annotation of a GenBank genome assembly.